CCUACGGGUGGCUGCAGUGGGGAAUAUUGGACAAUGGGGGCAACCCUGAUCCAGCCAUGCCGCGUGUGUGAAGAAGGCCCUCGGGUUGUAAAGCACUUUCAGUGAGGAAGAACGCCUGGUGGUUAAUACCCAUCAGGAAAGACAUCACUCACAGAAGAAGCACCGGCUAACUCCGUGCCAGCAGCCGCGGUAAUACGGAGGGUGCGAGCGUUAAUCGGAAUUACUGGGCGUAAAGCGCGCGUAGGUGGCUUGAUAAGCCGGUUGUGAAAGCCCCGGGCUCAACCUGGGAACGGCAUCCGGAACUGUCAAGCUAGAGUGCAGGAGAGGAAGGUAGAAUUCCCGGUGUAGCGGUGAAAUGCGUAGGGAUCGGGAGGAAUACCAGUGGCGAAGGCGGCCUUCUGGACUGACACUGACACUGAGGUGCGAAAGCGUGGGUAGCAAACAGGAUUAGAUACCCUAGUAGUC
Molecule: ribosomal RNA, 465 nt
Filed under: Vreelandella stevensii
Lineage: Bacteria; Pseudomonadati; Pseudomonadota; Gammaproteobacteria; Oceanospirillales; Halomonadaceae
Description: partial 16S ribosomal RNA
Rfam family: Bacterial small subunit ribosomal RNA
Source: RNAcentral